Molecule: ribosomal RNA, 434 nt
Filed under: uncultured bacterium
Lineage: Bacteria
Description: partial 16S ribosomal RNA
Rfam family: Bacterial small subunit ribosomal RNA
Source: RNAcentral
AGCGAACGCUGGCGGCAGGCCUAACACAUGCAAGUCGAACGAACCUUUCGGGGUUAGUGGCGGACGGGUGAGUAACACGUGGGAACGUGCCUUUAGGUUCGGAAUAACUCAGGGAAACUUGUGCUAAUACCGAAUGUGCCCUUCGGGGGAAAGAUUUAUCGCCUUUAGAGCGGCCCGCGUCUGAUUAGCUAGUUGGUUGAGGUAAUGGCUCACCAAGGCGACGAUCAGUAGCUGGUCUGAGAGGAUGAUCAGCCACAUUGGGACUGAGACACGGCCCAAAAUACUACGGGAGGCAGCAGUGGGGAAUCUUGCGCAAUGGGCGAAAGCCUGACGCAGCCAUGCCGCGUGAAUGAUGAAGGUCUUAGGAUUGUAAAAUUCUUUCACCGGGGACGAUAAUGACGGUACCCGGAGAAGAAGCCCCGGCUAACUUCGUG